RNAcentral lists this ribosomal RNA (1405 nucleotides) under Arcobacter sp. Its description in RNAcentral is "bacterial SSU rRNA". It matches the Rfam family "Bacterial small subunit ribosomal RNA". Lineage: Bacteria; Pseudomonadati; Campylobacterota; Epsilonproteobacteria; Campylobacterales; Arcobacteraceae. The record is from RNAcentral.
UUUAUGGAGAGUUUGAUCCUGGCUCAGAGUGAACGCUGGCGGCGUGCUUAACACAUGCAAGUCGAACGAGAACGGAUUAAAGCUUGCUUUAAUUGUCAGCUAAGUGGCGCACGGGUGAGUAAUAUAUAGGUAACAUGCCCUAGAGAGGGGGAUAACAGAUGGAAACGUCUGCUAACACCCCAUAUGCCUUUAAGUCUUAAGACUGCAAGGGAAACAUUUAUGGCUCUAGGAUUGGCCUGUACGGUAUCAGCUAGUUGGUGAGGUAAUGGCUCACCAAGGCAAUGACACCUAACUGGUUUGAGAGGAUGAUCAGUCACACUGGAACUGAGACACGGNNNNNNNNNNNNNNNUAUAUGAAUAAGCACCGGCUAACUCCGUGCCAGCAGCCGCGGUAAUACGGAGGGUGCAAGCGUUACUCGGAAUUACUGGGCGUAAAGAGCGUGUAGGCGGAUAGAUAAGUUGGAAGUGAAAUCCUAUGGCUCAACCAUAGAACUGCUUCCAAAACUGUCUAUCUAGAAUGUGGGAGAGGUAGAUGGAAUUUCUGGUGUAGGGGUAAAAUCCGUAGAUAUUAGAAGGAAUACCGAUUGCGAAGGCGAUCUACUGGAACACUAUUGACGCUGAGACGCGAAAGCGUGGGGAGCAAACAGGAUUAGAUACCCUGGUAGUCCACGCCCUAAACGAUGUACACUAGUUGUUGUGAGGCUAGACCUUGCAGUAAUGCAGUUAACACAUUAAGUGUACCGCCUGGGGAGUACGGUCGCAAGAUUAAAACUCAAAGGAAUAGACGGGGACCCGCACAAGCGGUGGAGCAUGUGGUUUAAUUCGACGAUACGCGAAGAACCUUACCUGGUCUUGACAUAGAAAGAACUUUCCAGAGAUGGAUUGGUGCCUGCUUGCAGGAGCUUUCAUACAGGUGCUGCACGGCUGUCGUCAGCUCGUGUCGUGAGAUGUUGGGUUAAGUCCCGCAACGAGCGCAACCCUCGUCGUUAGUUGCUAACAGUUCGGCUGAGAACUCUAACGAGACUGCCUACGCAAGUAGGAGGAAGGUGAGGACGACGUCAAGUCAUCAUGGCCCUUACGACCAGGGCUACACACGUGCUACAAUGGGGUAUACAAAGAGCAGCAAUACAGUGAUGUGGAGCGAAUCUCAAAAAUGCCUCCCAGUUCGGAUUGUAGUCUGCAACUCGACUACAUGAAGUUGGAAUCGCUAGUAAUCGUAGAUCAGCUAUGCUACGGUGAAUACGUUCCCGGGUCUUGUACUCACCGCCCGUCACACCAUGGGAGUUGAAUUCAUUCGAAGCGGGGAUGCUAAAAUAGCUACCUUCCACAGUGGAUUUAGCGACUGGGGUGAAGUCGUAACAAGGUAACCGUAGGAGAACCUGCGGUUGGAUCACCUCCUUUCAGA